CGCGGGGCGCGGGGCGCGGGGACGGUGGCGGGCGCCCGGCCCGGCGGCUGGACUUACUCGGGUCGCCACUGCGGCGGCGCGCGGCCGAGGAACCGGUUCUUCCCGAGACAAACCGAAAAUGGCUGCACUUAUCCAAUAAAAGGAGAAGAGGGAAGAGAGUGGCCCGAAUAGAGACGUGUCUACGGACGUAAAUGUACAAGGAGCUCACCGGCGGGGAUUUUUGCGGAAGGACCUCAAGGAUGCCGUUUCCCGGGCUGUUUGGAAAUAGACGUAGAUUAUUUCCCCCCAAAGAUUAUGAACAGUUCUUUUGUCCAAAUCCAAGGUGCAAUAAUGCAUAGGCUCCCUAAAACGGGCCAUUCAAAUUUUAGUUGUUUAGAGAUGUCUGAAGUCCUCAAGAAUUAGAGAAGUAAAGAUGAAAAGACAUCUUUUUAAGGAUCUGUUUUGGGCAGCUUAACAGGUAGGCAGGAUACCCGAAAGAGCUGUUUACUUCAGAAUAUGCCUUCUAGUGGCUAAGAGUCCAUAUCAUUCUAAAACAAAAUCAAAAGACAAACUGUCAGUGUGUAUGCAUCAUUUGACAAAUAAAAUCGAACACAAAUUUCCUUUGGAAAGGGGAGAUAGAUCAGAGUACUACCGCUGAUAUUUCAAUCAAGUCUAGAUUGAAGAAAAAAGUAUUCCCUCCAUAAGAACUGUUCAGUUUUGUUUUUCUUUUCUAACAUGUCUUGAGUUAAACAAAACAUGUUAACAAGAUUGUAAUGAAAACUCUUCGUGAUGUAAACAUCCAAAGAAAUUCUAGAUUGAUUAUAUUCUGGGACCGCAAAGAUUUUAUUACUAGAUAUCACUUGAAGCAGUGGAACCAGAGGCCGAAAGCCUUAGGACUCUAACUGGGUGGUUGAGGAGAUUUUUAGAGGACUACCUCCCAAUUAAAAAAAAAAAAAAAAAAAAAAAAACCUCAUAAAAUG
Molecule: long non-coding RNA, 959 nt
Organism: Canis lupus familiaris (dog)
Lineage: Eukaryota; Metazoa; Chordata; Mammalia; Carnivora; Canidae
Exons: 2
Source: RefSeq, a predicted model, not a curated record